GACGAACGCUGGCGGCGUGCUUAACACAUGCAAGUCGAACGGAAAGGCCCUGCUUUUGUGGGGUGCUCGAGUGGCGAACGGGUGAGUAACACGUGAGUAACCUGCCCUUGACUUUGGGAUAACUUCAGGAAACUGGGGCUAAUACCGGAUAGGAGCUCCUGCUGCAUGGUGGGGGUUGGAAAGUUUCGGCGGUUGGGGAUGGACUCGCGGCUUAUCAGCUUGUUGGUGGGGUAGUGGCUUACCAAGGCAUUGACGGGUAGCCGGCCUGAGAGGGUGACCGGCCACAUUGGGACUGAGAUACGGCCCAGACGCCUACGGGAGGCAGCAGUGGGGAAUAUUGCACAAUGGGCGGAAGCCUGAUGCAGCGACGCCGCGUGCGGGAUGACGGCCUUCGGGUUGUAAACCGCUUUCGCCUGUGACGAAGCGUGAGUGACGGUAAUGGGUAAAGAAGCACCGGCUAACUACGUG
Molecule: ribosomal RNA, 468 nt
Filed under: uncultured bacterium
Lineage: Bacteria
Description: partial 16S ribosomal RNA
Rfam family: Bacterial small subunit ribosomal RNA
Source: RNAcentral